AUUGAACGCUGGCGGCAGGCCUAACACAUGCAAGUCGAACGAGUGGCGGACGGGUGAGUAAUGUCUGGGAAACUGGCUGAUGGAGGGGGAUAACUACUGGAAACGGUAGCUAAUACCGCAUACCAUCGGAUGAGCCCAUGUGGGAUUAGGUAGUGGGUGGGGUAACGGCUCACCUAGGCGACGAUCCCUAGCUGGUCUGAGAGGAUGAACAGCCACACUGGAACUGAGACACGGUCCAGACUCCUACGGGAGGCAGCAGUGGGGAAUAUUGCACAAGGGGCGCAAGCCUGAUGCAGCCAUGCCGCGUGUAUGAAGAAGGCCUUCGGGUUGUAAAGUACUUUCAGUGGUGAGGCGUUACCCACAGAAGAAGCACCGGCUAACUCCGUGCCAGCCGCCGCGGUAAUUC
RNAcentral lists this ribosomal RNA (406 nucleotides) under uncultured bacterium. Its description in RNAcentral is "partial 16S ribosomal RNA". It matches the Rfam family "Bacterial small subunit ribosomal RNA", at positions 30 to 526 of the family's 1533-position model. The record is from RNAcentral.